CAACUUCACACUGAUGAGCUUGCAGUAUCAGGCCAGCUUUUCCUUAUUGCCCUUUGAGAAAAUAGUGUCAGAUUGGAACAAACUCAGAGCAAAGUGGGAAUGAUCUGACAUGAAGAAAAACAUGGGGCUUAACCUGUAGGAAAGGAGAAUUAGGUUGUCCAUUAAGAAACAUUUCACGUCUAAGGUGACUGAAUCUUUGCUGGUGAAACUAUAUUUUGCGAGGUAAAGUUCUAACAGCUUUGCAGGAGCCUCCAAGAGUUUUUGUCAGCUGUACAGAGGGGAUGAGGCUCCUCCUAAAGGGGAUUAUCUGGACCAGAAAAAACCUGUUCUUUAUUCUGAGAUUUAAUGGGUCCUAUUUUCAAGGUGUGAUGUCACUGAAUGUAAGCACUGGAGCACAGAUCUUACCUAUUCGAUUGCAAUUAAAUAGUGCAGGGAUGGAGUGCAUCUGAAAAAAACAUCUCCAGUGCUUUUCUCCUAAACUUUGGAAACUGAUUGUCACUUUGAAUUUGAUUGUGAGAGGUGGAUGGAGACACAAACACUGAGAAAUUUUAAAUCCAUUUUUGUCUUUUGUGAGCCUUUGUAUUAAUAAUUUGUAGAAAAGAAAUUUAUUCCAGACUCAAUUUUUAUCUAUCAUACCUAUACAUUUAUAUGCAUUUAUAAAUAGAAUACUAUUGUUCCAGCAUUAAAUUAAUAUUGAAAUAUAAGACUGUAUUAAGUAAAUGAAUAGUAUUUUUUCCCAGAUUGUAUUGUCACAUAUCCAUUAGCACUGAUUUUGAUAGUAAGUGCUUGGAGGAGGAAAACACUCCUGUUUGGAGCUGAUGAAUGUUCCACGUUGCAAAACGGGCAUUGCUGAAUGAAAGGAGGCUUUCCCCUCUGUGACCAGAUAGAAAAUUCUGCCUUCAUGAGAAAAUGUUGGUUAUUUUAUUUCUCCUGAAAAGAGGUACAACUCCACCAAUUCAUCCUGGUAAGUGUUGGCAGGAAGACUCAGACCUCAAUUUUGAAUCCUUUUGUUUCAGUGAAAUGGGAAACAAUAGUUUUAAUGACAAUAUUAUAAAAACCCUGAACAUCCACUAAAAAACCUAGCUUUUAGUAAAACUAAAAGUCAGUAGCUAACUGAAGAAGUAUAGUGCAGUAGGCAGCAUGAAGUAGCAGUGUGCAUAAAAGGGUGCAGAUGAUGAAAAAUUUAUAAAUGCUGUUUAUAAGGGUAUGUACUGAAGUAUUCAGUAUGAUGUAAUGGAUUUCAGUAAUGGCAUAGAAGUGACUGAAUUAAAGAGCUUCCUGAUCAUUGAUCAAUUCCCAAUUCCCACACCACCUGUAUGAAGUGGGUCUCUGUGGCUGCCUUGUUACCAGGCUGCACUGUGGUACCUUUGUGGACAUGCAUGGACCUCACAGCUGUACACACGGGAAACAGCACAUGAUUUGUUUUUUGUCAUUGAAAUAGUAACAUUCACUAUGCUGAUACAGAAUUAAUCUUCUUCAUAUUGUGAAACA
This 1491-nucleotide long non-coding RNA is filed under the name Junco hyemalis (dark-eyed junco). RNAcentral's name for it is "lncRNA (ENSJHYG00000015836.1)". The record is from RNAcentral. Lineage: Eukaryota; Metazoa; Chordata; Aves; Passeriformes; Passerellidae.